AUAAAUGAGGGCCGGGAUUGAGGCGACUGGCUGUUGUCCAGUAGGAUAUGAGAGUUCAUUCAUUUA
Molecule: transfer RNA, 66 nt
Filed under: Emplectonema gracile
Lineage: Eukaryota; Metazoa; Nemertea; Enopla; Monostilifera; Emplectonematidae
Description: tRNA-Asn
Source: RNAcentral